This 253-nucleotide ribosomal RNA is filed under the name uncultured bacterium. Its description in RNAcentral is "partial 16S ribosomal RNA". It matches the Rfam family "Bacterial small subunit ribosomal RNA", at positions 524 to 776 of the family's 1533-position model. The record is from RNAcentral.
UACGUAGGGUGCGAGCGUUGUCCGGAAUUAUUGGGCGUACAGAGCUUGUAGGUGGCUCGUUGCGUCGGGAGUGAAAACCUGCGGCUUAACCGCAGGCCUGCUUCCGAUACGGGCGAGCUAGAGUUCGGCAGGGGAGACUGGAAUUCCUGGUGUAGCGGUGGAAUGCGCAGAUAUCAGGAGGAACACCGGUGGCGAAGGCGGGUCUCUGGGCCGAUACUGACACUGAGGAGCGAAAGUGUGGGGAGCGAACAGG